Non-coding RNA from Acanthosepion pharaonis, 115 nucleotides. NCBI's taxonomy places the organism in Eukaryota, Metazoa, Mollusca, Cephalopoda, Sepiida, Sepiidae. The record is from the annotation of a GenBank genome assembly.
CUUGCGGUCACAUCAAGUUGAAACACCGGUUACACGUACGAUCACGGCAGUUAAGCAACGUCGAGCCUGUUCAGUACGUAGAUGGGUGACAGCUGGAGAAUAUCAGUUGCCGUAA